UUUUUUCUUUCUCAUGACAUGUAAAGUAGUGUUCACUUAAUUUUUUUUUAUUAUAAGAUUUUCUGCUUGAAAUGGAGUAUGAGAACAGAUUCAGACAAGCUCAGAGACAAAAAUAUGACUGUCUUCUUUUUGAUUUAGAUGAUAUUUUGUAUCCACUAAGUUGUGGUAUUGCAAAAGCAUGUGGACAAAAUAUUAAAGGUGAUAUAUUGUUUAGUUUUUUACCAAUAAUGUUUUUAGUGAUGUGUUUAUGAUUUUUUUUUACAUAUUUUGUUGGUAUUGACUAAUUGAAUGCACCAUUGAUCUAUAGACUAUGGAACAACUAUGGUUGGUU
Cicer arietinum (chickpea) is the source of this 331-nucleotide non-coding RNA. Lineage: Eukaryota; Viridiplantae; Streptophyta; Magnoliopsida; Fabales; Fabaceae. The record is from RefSeq and is a predicted model, not a curated record.